UGGCGGCGUGCCUAAUACAUGCAAGUCGAACGGCUUUUCUAUGGAAGCUUGCUUCCACUGAGAAGAUAGUGGCGAACGGGUGAGUAACACGUGGGUAACCUGCCCAUAAGAGGGGGGAUAACAUCCGGAAACGGGUGCUAAUACCGCAUAGUUUUCUUGAUCGCAUGAUUGAGAAAGGAAAGACGGCCUUUGUGCUGUCGCUUAUGGAUGGACCCGCGGCGUAUUAGUUAGUUGGUGAGGUAACGGCUCACCAAGACGAUGAUACGUAGCCGACCUGAGAGGGUGAUCGGCCACAUUGGGACUGAGACACGGCCCAAACUCCUACGGGAGGCAGCAGUAGGGAAUCUUCCGCAAUGGACGAAAGUCUGACGGAGCAACGCCGCGUGAGUGAAGAAAAGGUUUUCGGAUCGUAAAACUCUGUUGUCAGAGAAGAACAAGUUGGAGAGUAACUGCUCCAGCCUUGACGGUAUCUGACCAGAAAGCCACGGCUAACUACGUGCCAGCCGCUGC
Molecule: ribosomal RNA, 510 nt
Filed under: uncultured bacterium
Lineage: Bacteria
Description: bacterial SSU rRNA
Rfam family: Bacterial small subunit ribosomal RNA
Source: RNAcentral